AACGAACGCUGGCGGCAUGCCUAACACAUGCAAGUCGAACGAGACCUUCGGGUCUAGUGGCGCACGGGUGCGUAACGCGUGGGAACCUGCCCUUAGGUUCGGAAUACCUCCCCGAAAGGGGUGCUAUUACCGGAUAAUGUCUUCGGCCCAAAGAUUUAUCGCCUUUGGAUGGUCCCGCGUUGGAUUCGCUAGUUGGUAGGGUAAAAGCUUACCAAGGGGACGAUCCAUAGCUGGUCUGAGAGGAUGAUCAGCAACACUGGGACUGAGACACGGCCCAGAAUCCUACGGGAGGCAGCAGUGGGGAAUAUUGGACAAUGGGCGAAAGCCUGAUCCAGCAAUGCCGCGUGAGUGAUGAAGGCCUUAGGGUUGUAAAGCUCUUUUACCCGGGAUGAUAAUGACAGUACCGGGAGAAUAAGCUCCGGCUAACUCCGUG
This 433-nucleotide ribosomal RNA is filed under the name uncultured bacterium. RNAcentral's name for it is "partial 16S ribosomal RNA". It matches the Rfam family "Bacterial small subunit ribosomal RNA", at positions 29 to 507 of the family's 1533-position model. The record is from RNAcentral.